RNAcentral lists this ribosomal RNA (462 nucleotides) under Triticum aestivum (bread wheat). RNAcentral's name for it is "partial small subunit ribosomal RNA". The record is from RNAcentral. Lineage: Eukaryota; Viridiplantae; Streptophyta; Magnoliopsida; Poales; Poaceae.
AUGCAUGGUACCCAGCAGAGCAUCUAUGUUGCUAUUAAAGCGCAUGGUGGAAUUGAGAAUUUGAUCCAGAAUCUGCCUGGUGCUCGGACUGAGACCCCAUUGGAUCAAUUUGCCAUUUACCCGAUAAAUGAUCCGAGUGUGGGCAACUAUUAUUUUUCAUUUACAAAUAUAACUUUGUAUAUACUGUUCAUUGUCGCUUUGGUCAUUUUUCUGUUUUUUGUUGUUAUGAAAAAGGGAGGUGGAAAGUCAGUGCCAAAUUCAUGGCAAUCCUUGGUCGAGGUUAUUUACGAUUUCAUGUUGAGCCUAGUAAACAAACAAAUAGGUGGUCUUUCCGGAUGUGUGAAACAAAAGUUUUUUCUACUUUUACUUUUUCAUUAUUUCAUCAUUAUUGAAUGUAUUUUUCUUUCUUAUGCUUUGCCUUUCUCGUUUUCCGUACCUUUCAUACUAGUUACUCGCCACUAG